This is a long non-coding RNA of Balaenoptera ricei (Rice's whale), 1042 nucleotides long. RefSeq lists it as uncharacterized. The transcript has 6 exons. The record is from RefSeq and is a predicted model, not a curated record. Lineage: Eukaryota; Metazoa; Chordata; Mammalia; Artiodactyla; Balaenopteridae.
CUUCCAACACAGUGAAUCCUUCUUCAAGCCUUGUGUUGAAAGGAAGGUGCCCCAAGAUCAGUACAGCCUGGACCACUGAGCCACCACAUGGAACUACCCCCUGGAGAGUUACUCAUUCCCACAGCAGUUGGCGUUCUAAAACUUAAGACUUGUGAAAAGCCAGAAACCAGAGACAUAGCGAAGCGGACCUAUUGAAAUGCCAUGAAUUUACUGUAAGAGAGCAUUCUUCACUGGAGAGGUUUAUCGCUGCCAAAGCACUCUUUCACUGGUGAAAGUCGGGGGCAGAAAGGAAGAAAAAGAAAAGUAUGAUUCUAGGAACCACAUUGCAGAAAUGCCAAAGGGAGGGUCAAACAAAAUCUGAAUGGCUAAGGCUUUGUCUUCAUCAUGCAUGUCCGUCCUACCUAAAGGAAACGCUUGGUACUAUUGGUUGUCCUGAAAGAGGAGAAGAUCAAGCAAGCCACUGGCCAUUCUCAUUUUGCUGAUGGAAUUGUUGCCUUCACACCCCCAAAUUCUUAUGUUGAAGCCCUAACUCCCAAUGUGAUGGUAUUUGAAUAUGGGGCCUUUGAGAGAUAAUGAUACCAGGAAGCUACAAAUGGGAUUCCUGGAGAGAGACCUGGACCUCAGCCUGCCUGGGAGCUUGCCCCAGGAUGAGCCACCUGACUGCCAGGUUUUUUGUUUCCUGGUUCAUUGUCUCUCCUCCCUUGUUUUCUUCUUGGCAGAUGUGAAGGUUGAGAGAACAUUAUGAGUGGAUUGCGUGACUUACAUAACAUCUCCUAUGGUUUCUGUGACAGGAUAGGCACUCAGAAUGGGGGGACACUUUAAAAAUUCCACAAAUUUUCUUUCCAUAUAAAUGUAUAAUGAAGAAAGAGCAAUAGAGAGACUCAUACACAAAGAGAACUGUGUACCCAGAGUGUAUCUAAGACGUUUCCUUAGAGCUUAAUAUAGAAUAUCACCUGCCUUUCAAUGAAUUGUUUAUAGGAAAGCUUCCUCUUGAAGUAGACCUUAAAAUUGGUAUUAUGAGGAUAAAGAAAAUAAAAUAAAA